Molecule: transfer RNA, 91 nt
Filed under: Desulfovibrio sp. OttesenSCG-928-C06
Lineage: Bacteria; Pseudomonadati; Thermodesulfobacteriota; Desulfovibrionia; Desulfovibrionales; Desulfovibrionaceae
Description: tRNA-Ser
Rfam family: tRNA
About the family: Transfer RNA (tRNA) molecules are approximately 80 nucleotides in length.
Source: RNAcentral
GGAGGGAUGGCAGAGCUGGUUUAACGCGGCGGUCUUGAAAACCGUUGAGGGUUAACGCCCUCCGGGGGUUCGAAUCCCUCUCCCUCCGCCA